GAUACGUGGUAUUGAAAAGAUCCUAUGAAAAUGGUGUCCUAGCCAAACAUCCCCAACAUGACCCCCCUAGAUGCCCAUGGGGCUCUCCCUUUUAUAGGCCAAAAUCUCAGCAUUGGAGCUUCAUCUUCAUCGCAUUUUGUAUGCUUGCACCCUCGCCCGACGCAUGCUCGAAGGCUGGUGUCCAACCAUUGUUGGCUGCCGAUUUUCCUUUCAUGGCCCACAUGC
Molecule: long non-coding RNA, 225 nt
Filed under: Elaeis guineensis (African oil palm)
Lineage: Eukaryota; Viridiplantae; Streptophyta; Magnoliopsida; Arecales; Arecaceae
Description: long non-coding RNA (EGUI_LNC034304)
Source: RNAcentral